This 478-nucleotide ribosomal RNA is filed under the name uncultured bacterium. RNAcentral describes it as "bacterial SSU rRNA". It matches the Rfam family "Bacterial small subunit ribosomal RNA", at positions 30 to 507 of the family's 1533-position model. The record is from RNAcentral.
UUGAACGCUGGCGGCAUGCUUUACACAUGCAAGUCGAACGGGUGAGGAGCUUGCUCCUCAUCUAGUGGCGAACGGGUGAGUAAUACAUCGGAACGUACCGUGUAGUGGGGAUAACGUAGCGAAAGUUACGCUAAUACCGCAUACGAUCCACGGAUGAAAGCAGGGGACCUUCGGGCCUUGUGCUAUACGAGCGGCCGAUGUCUGAUCAGCUAGUUGGUGGGUAAAGGCCCACCAAGGCAACGAUCAGUAGCGGGUCUGAGAGGAUGAUCCGCCACACUGGGACUGAGACACGGCCCAGACUCCUACGGGAGGCAGCAGUGGGGAAUUUUGGACAAUGGGCGCAAGCCUGAUCCAGCCAUGCCGCGUGUCUGAAGAAGGCCUUCGGGUUGUAAAGGACUUUUGUCAGGGAGCAAAACCCAGCAGCUAAUAUCUGUUGGGGAUGAGAGUACCUGAAGAAUAAGCACCGGCUAACUACGUG